GGAAGGGCAGGGAGGAGGCGAGCCGGGCGCCGAGGAGCCGGCGAGCGCCGCCGUCGCCCGCGCCAUGUCCGCGCGCAGCUUGGGCACGGAGCUGGACCUUAGCUGGAUCUCCAAAAUACAAGUGAAUCAACCAGCAGUUCUGAGGCGUGCAGAGCAAAUCCAGGCUCGCAGGACCGUGAAAAAGGAGUGGCAAGCUGCUUGGCUCCUGAAAGCUGUUACCUUUAUAGACCUUACUACACUCUCAGGCGAUGACACAUCUUCCAAUGUUCAAAGGCUCUGUUAUAAAGCCAAGUAUCCAAUCCGGGAAGACCUCUUAAAAACUUUAAAUGUGCAUGAUAAAGGUAUUACUACAGCCGCCGUUUGUGUUUAUCCUGCACGAGUGUGUGACGCUGUGAAAGCACUGCAGGCAGCGGGCUGUGCCAUCCCAGUGGCUUCGGUGGCCACUGGCUUUCCAGCUGGACAGACCCAUUUAAAGACACGAUUGGAAGAGAUCAGAUUGGCUGUGGAAGAUGGAGCUAUGGAAAUCGAUGUGGUAAUUAACAGGACCUUGGUGCUGACAGGCCAGUGGGAAGCGCUGUAUGAUGAGAUUCGUCAGUUUCGCAAGGCCUGCGGGGAGGCUCAUCUCAAAACCAUCUUAGCAACAGGAGAACUUGGAUCUCUUACUAAUGUCUAUAAAGCCAGUAUGAUAGCAAUGAUGGCAGGAUCAGAUUUUAUUAAGACCUCUACUGGAAAAGAAACUGUAAAUGCCACUUUCCCCGUAGCUAUAGUAAUGCUACGGGCCAUUAGAGAUUUCUUCUGGAAAACUGGAAACAAGAUCGGCUUUAAACCAGCAGGAGGCAUCCGCAGUGCAAAGGAUUCCCUUGCCUGGCUCUCUCUCAUAAAAGAAGAGCUGGGAGACGAAUGGCUGACGCCAGAACUCUUUCGAAUAGGUGCCAGUACCCUGCUUUCAGACAUCGAGAGGCAGAUUUACCAUCACGUGACUGGAAGAUACGCGGCUUAUCACGAUCUACCGAUGUCUUAAAUCAGCGACCAAUUCCAGAAAAGUCCCUUAACAUGUGUUUUUCCACAUAGCUGGCACAUCUGAAAUGGUCCUAAUUACUUGAUGAUCUGUAUUGUUAAUUUUGUGAAGAUUUCCUCCUAAAAAUUCUGCGUAAAAUAUUAAUGAUAACUCUGACAACAUUAAAUUCUGAGGGAAAAAAAUUCUAGAUGGCCCGAGAAAUGUGCCUGAGCCAAAGAAAAUGCCACAUUCCAGAGCUUCUGGCCGUACUCUAAUGACUUCAGGAAUCACUGGCUUGGCACUAAUUUCCUGCCAUGAAAAUCUGUCUUUAAUUUUUACAACAGAUACGCUCUUUUAUUAAUUGUUUUGCUAAUGAAACCUCUGAUACUGUUAUAUGAUAUUAUGGCUGUUGUCUUUUAUAAAAAUCUCUCUGUAGUUUAUUGUUUUGGAAAAAAACCUUUCAAUUGUAACAGUACAUACUGAAAAAGUAAU
This is an RNA transcript of Hyaena hyaena (striped hyena), 1489 nucleotides long. It is a transcript of the gene named deoxyribose-phosphate aldolase, with no coding region annotated. The record is from RefSeq and is a predicted model, not a curated record. Lineage: Eukaryota; Metazoa; Chordata; Mammalia; Carnivora; Hyaenidae. The transcript has 10 exons.